AGAGCGAACGCUGGCGGCAUGCUUAACACAUGCAAGUCGCACGGGCAGGGGCAACUCUGUCAGUGGCGGACGGGUGAGUAACGCGUAGGUAUCUAUCCUUGGGUGGGGGACAACUGUGGGAAACUACAGCUAAUACCGCAUGAUAACUGAGGUUUAAAGGCGCCCAGGGUAACUUGGGUGGUCGCCUGGGGAGGAGCCUGCGUACGAUUAGCUAGUUGGUGGGGUAAAGGCCUACCAAGGCGACGAUCGUUAGCUGGUCUGAGAGGAUGAUCAGCCACAUUGGGACUGAGACACGGCCCAAACUCCUACGGGAGGCAGCAGUGGGGAAUAUUGGACAAUGGGCGCAAGCCUGAUCCAGCAAUGCCGCGUGUGUGAAGAAGGUCUUCGGAUUGUAAAGCACUUUCGACGGGGACGAUGAUGACGGUACCCGUAGAAGAGCCCCGGCUAACUUCGCGCCAGCAGCCGCGGUAA
RNAcentral lists this ribosomal RNA (471 nucleotides) under uncultured bacterium. RNAcentral's name for it is "SSU rRNA". It matches the Rfam family "Bacterial small subunit ribosomal RNA", at positions 26 to 523 of the family's 1533-position model. The record is from RNAcentral.